GGAGAGGCUGUGGCUCAGCGGCAGAGCAUCUGCUCAGAAUGCAGAAGGUCCCAGGGUUCAAUCCCCGGCAUCUCCA
Molecule: non-coding RNA, 76 nt
Organism: Heteronotia binoei (common prickly gecko)
Lineage: Eukaryota; Metazoa; Chordata; Lepidosauria; Squamata; Gekkonidae
Source: the annotation of a RefSeq genome assembly